UACGGGGGGGGCAAGCGUUGUUCGGAAUUACUGGGCGUAAAGGGUUUGUAGGUGGCUUGCUAAGUCAGACGUGAAAUCCCUCAGCUUAACUGGGGAACUGCGUCUGAGACUGGCAAGCUCGAGUGCAGGAGGGGAACGCGGAAUUCCAGGUGUAGCGGUGAAAUGCGUAGAUAUCUGGAGGAACACCGGUGGCGAAGGCGGCGUUCUGGACUGCAACUGACACUGAAAAACGAAAGCCAGGGGAGCAAACGGG
RNAcentral lists this ribosomal RNA (253 nucleotides) under uncultured bacterium. Its description in RNAcentral is "partial 16S ribosomal RNA". It matches the Rfam family "Bacterial small subunit ribosomal RNA", at positions 524 to 776 of the family's 1533-position model. The record is from RNAcentral.